UACGUAGGGUGCAAGCGUUGUCCGGAAUUAUUGGGCGUAAAGAGCUCGUAGGCGGCUUGUUACGUCGACUGUGAAAACCCGGGGCUCAACCCCGGGCCUGCAGUGGGUACGGGCAGACUAGAGUGCGGUAGGGGAGACUGGAAUUCCUGGUGUAGCGGUGAAAUGCGCAGAUAUCAGGAGGAACACCGGUGGCGAAGGCGGGUCUCUGGGCCGUAACUGACGCUGAGGAGCGAAAGCGUGGGGAGCGAACAGG
RNAcentral lists this ribosomal RNA (253 nucleotides) under uncultured bacterium. RNAcentral describes it as "partial 16S ribosomal RNA". It matches the Rfam family "Bacterial small subunit ribosomal RNA", at positions 524 to 776 of the family's 1533-position model. The record is from RNAcentral.